This 506-nucleotide long non-coding RNA is filed under the name Arabidopsis thaliana (thale cress). RNAcentral describes it as "long non-coding RNA (ATHA_LNC000643)". The record is from RNAcentral. Lineage: Eukaryota; Viridiplantae; Streptophyta; Magnoliopsida; Brassicales; Brassicaceae.
GGAAGGUUUUGCAAAGAUCAUAGACAUAGACUUCCCUUUAAAAGGUAGAUAAUUUCUCUCCCCUGAUUUCAGCAAGGCCUUAACCUCUGAAGCCUUGUCUAAAAUCGUUUUAAUGGUGGCUGUGUCAAAAUCAUCUAUUGCCAGAAAGUCUUUCAGGUCAGAUUUUCCUGCAAAAAAAUAAAAUCUUAUCAUCUCACAAUCCACUGGAAAUGAAUCUCUAGAUGAAAGCAUCUAAAAGUAUCAAACUUGCGUAGUUUCUCAAUCAAUAGAGGCAAUAAUGAGUCACAUUUUCGAAUGCUAAAAUCAAAAUCCGAUACCAACAUACAAAUUUCAUAAACAAAAUCUGAUCUUUGGGGAAGUUUCCGAAAGAAAUGAUAAUGAAAUGCCUAAAAGGCUAACCUUUGACAUCGGAAGGAGAAGAAGGCGAAGUGACGGAGGAGGCUUGACAUGAAACACGAAGGCGAGGGAGAGCAGGAGAAGGGAGUGAAACGGCGGAGAAUCUCCGA